GAUUUAGUUAUUAAAAGUAGUUAAUUAUAGAAUUACGAUUAAAAUCUGGAGAAUCAAGAAAAAGUAUAUAAGAGUUGUAGAAGUUAAUUAAGGUGCCAUCGUUGUGAUAGUUGUGAGUCGGGGUAAGCUUGGUGCUACUUCUUUUCUUUUGUUUAUUAUUUUCUUUGAAUAAGAGGAUUGAGAGUUUCUGAAUAUUGUGAAGUGAAUUAUGGAAUAGAAAUGUGAUUGGUAUUAUUUGAGAAGAAGAAAGAUUGAAUGCUGAAAUUUGAUUGUAG
Molecule: long non-coding RNA, 275 nt
Filed under: Physcomitrium patens
Lineage: Eukaryota; Viridiplantae; Streptophyta; Bryopsida; Funariales; Funariaceae
Description: long non-coding RNA (PPAT_LNC003823)
Source: RNAcentral